Molecule: long non-coding RNA, 2120 nt
Filed under: Sus scrofa (pig)
Lineage: Eukaryota; Metazoa; Chordata; Mammalia; Artiodactyla; Suidae
Description: lncRNA (ENSSSCG00070017442.1)
Source: RNAcentral
CGUGUCACUGUCGCGUCCCAAUCGCAGCCAAGUCUCAGCCUUAAUCUAAGCAACACCCGAAAAGGCAGCGGCAGCCGCAGCCUCUCCCUGACUCUUCCAUCCAUCCACCCAACUAAAAAUAUAAUACUACAUAUGAGCUUUAACCACUCCACGUUUAUAGGGAUCAAGCCACUGAAAAUCCAGGAGAACACAAUAAAAAAAAAAAAAAAAAAAAAAACCCUCCUUCUGUCUCUUGUCUCUCUCUCUCCUCUCUCUUCCUCUCUCUCCUCUCUCUCUGUCUCUCCUUUUGCCAUCUACAUGAUCCUUGAUUAAACAUGGAACAGAGUUAAUAAAAAAAAAAGGGGGGGGAGGACUCUAGGAGAGGAAAUGCAACUGUCAGAAAUCGGGACCGCCAGAUUUCCUGGUGAACCUGCCUCUGUCUGAGUCAGUGUCAAUCCACCAUCUUCCGCCAGUGAACUUGUCUUUAGGUUUUUGUUUGGUUGGGGGGGGGCUGUUGUUGUUGUGUGUGUGCUUUUUUGGAAGGGGGAGGGGAGAGGGAAGGUGGGGGCUGGAGGGGGGAGUAGGGAGAAUGUGUGUGUGAGUGUGUGUUGAGUGUGAGUGUGUUUGUGUGUGUAGGGGUCGGGGGGGGGGGGUCCGUGUUCGCGAUCUGAACCUUUGGUACCUACAAGGAGGGUGUCUCACGGAACGGUAGCUAAGACCUCACCAGAACCGCGCGGAAGUGAGGAGUCACGGCCAAAGGCGCCCGCUGGAGCCUCCUCUCUGGGCCGGACCCCAGCCCGAGCGGCCGAAAGGAGCCCCCCGCCCGGAUCACAGCUGCCGCUGAAAUUCGCUGUGGCCGCUGCCUCUUCCCGCUUUAAUCCCAGACCUCCAGUCAUUGGGCAGCUCCUCAGAGGCAAGAAGUCAACACCAUGGCAACCCCACAAGCCUAUCAAAUCGCCGGCUGGUGUGACAGCAGCAACAAUGCAGGCAGGAGUGGGCUGGGCAGAAGAGCAGAGUGGCCACUGCGCUCAGGUAUAUGGUCUGGGAGUGGACAGCAGCUGUCAGCCUCCACGGUCUAGCUACACAGAUGUGCACCACUCGGUUCAUACCCCUACCCCAAGUCCCCUAGUAGGUCUAGAGGAGGAGGAGGAAGAAGAAGAGGAGGGAUGCAUGUAAGAUUGGAAGAGCUUCGGAAGAGUUUCAAGCUAAAAGUCAUCGAAGCCUAGAUAUUGUAAACUAAAGAUGCCCUGUGCCCCAAUAUUCCACGAAACCAAACCACACUAGGCAGCCUCAGAACUAAAUUUAAGUGGUUUGCACAAAGGUGUGGGGGUUUUCUUCACCAGGUCUUCUAUCACGUGCUUGAACAAAAGUAAUGAAACAUUUUGCUCUGGAGUUCCAAAAGGAUCAAAGAAACCAUGGAGCUUUUACUGUCUGCUAAGUAUUGGAUUCUGCAAAAAAAAAAAAAAAAAAAAAAAAAAAAAAGGUUCAACAUCAUGUUCUGUCAAUAUGCUAAUUGACUGCCUGGAAAUAACCUAAACUUUACCUGAAACAGCCUUUGCCUUGUUCUUUCCCAAAGUGUGUGCUACGUGUAAUGUGUGUUCUAGAUCUUGAUUCUCUAGAAAAGAAACAGGAGACUAGGAAAUGGGUAACUAGAAAAUCUGUGUGUUCCUCUUGGGCCUACCUGGCCAUUUAUAUUUCCUCAUUUUCCUUAAGAAACUCCCAAGUUUAGCCGGAUGGAAGAAGACAAGACUUUCACUAAUAUUUCAGAAGAUCUUGUGAAUUAACAUGAGAUAGACUGAAACUGCAUUUUUCCUUUUUGAUUUUAAAAGCACUCAGUGUUUCUGAGAAACACACAACAUGUUAUUUCUCAUUAGAUUUUAACUCCAUAGGGAAAACUUUGACAAAUAUUUGUACAAUACACUACCCUUGACCAUAUAAGCCCCUCUAUUAUUUAUCUCAUCAUUGAUUUCUAAAUUUCAGAACACAAGUUUGUUGAAGUUGUAUAGGACAGGAAGAGAAAUCCACUUAAUGAAGUUAAUGUGUCAUACUGAGGAAAUCUUGUAUGAAUUCUAAAAUCUACCCUUAAUCCACUCCACAUAAACACAAUUCACUAAAUAAACAACUUUCAUAUUGAUCUAACA